RNAcentral lists this ribosomal RNA (235 nucleotides) under uncultured bacterium. Its description in RNAcentral is "partial 16S ribosomal RNA". It matches the Rfam family "Bacterial small subunit ribosomal RNA", at positions 100 to 334 of the family's 1533-position model. The record is from RNAcentral.
CGGGACGGGUGAGUAAUGUCUGGGAAACGUGCCUGAUGGAGGGGGAUAACUACUGGAAACGGUAGCUAAUAACGCAUAACGUCGCAAGACCAAAGAGGGGGACCGUUCGGGCCUCUUGCCAUCGGAUGUGCCCAGAUGGGAUUAGCUAGUAGGUGGGGUAACGGCUCACCUAGGCGACGAUCCCUAGCUGGUCUGAGAGGAUGACCAGCCACACUGGAACUGAGACACGGUCCAG